Hordeum vulgare subsp. vulgare (domesticated barley) is the source of this 1981-nucleotide RNA transcript. RefSeq lists it as uncharacterized. Lineage: Eukaryota; Viridiplantae; Streptophyta; Magnoliopsida; Poales; Poaceae. The record is from RefSeq and is a predicted model, not a curated record. The transcript has 4 exons.
CCCCUUGGCCGCUGCCGCGCCCGCGCCCCCUACGCCGGCCGACCUGGGUUGCGCCGGCCUAAUCUACACCCGGAAGAGGCCGCACGGCCCCUGACGCCUGUCGACCUGGGGUUGCGCCCGCCGAUUUUCCUGCUGUCGAGGACACCGCUGCCGUCUGAUGUGCGGUGAGAAGGCAUCUCCUGGUGGAGCUUGGUUUGGAAGGCACUGGGAGGAGGAGCGCCAUGGAGCCGGUGGUUCUACAGCCUUUGGAUGGCGCGCGGCAGCACCACCGUGUUGCUCGUCCUUCACCGGGACGCAUCACUGCUGCUCUCCGCCUCUUCAUCUGCCAUGGCUGCCCAACCACACGAGAGGGUGAGCAUGAGCCGCCGGAAAACCACACCAGAGUCCCCCCUCACUCGCCUUCACUUGCUCGUAUGCCACCUCUGGUUAGAGUUGGGAGCACUGCCGAGUCGUUGAGCAGUCCUCCUCUGCAUUAUUUGAUCAGCUGCCCGAGAUCGACCGUGCUAGCCAUCGACUUCACUGCCUCCUCUACCCCGGAGGCCCGGACUGCAGCGGCAAGGCACUAUGGUUCUCGUUUAGGCUGUCCACGAAGCGAGGACCCAGUAUCUGCAGGUUUUCCCUACAAUCGUGCCCACCAUAUGUUUGUUGAAAUGCUUCCUUGCAGAUAUAGUUGGAACUUUUUCUCAACUGACCCAUUAAUUGUUCUUUGGUUUGUAUAUUCAGACUUGGAUCAUCGGAUUAUUCAAUUCUUUUUGUGCUGCAGAACUACAGAAGUACUACUUGAUCAUUGCAGUGUCCUGUUCUGUGUAUACCAAUAUCUCUAAACAGGAGUUUCCAGUAUCUCUACAAUUUCCUAGUAGAUAUCAUGGUGUGCGACAUUUUUCCAGCAAGUUGGACAGGAUGUUGCCAAAUACAGUAGAAAUCAUGGAGUGCGACAUUUUUAAGAGGCCACUUUUUGUCAAAAUAUGCAAGCUAUAUAAUGUGUACAUGGCGGUGUUACUGAAUGAAAGGAGGGUUAUAUGCAGAUUUGGUUGCCAUUAAAUGAUGUCUGUACGACAGGCGGCUCCGGCGAGUCGGAUGGACUGCGGCGGUUGCUGAGCUUCUCCAUGGCCUGCUGCAGUUCCAAGGAGACACAACUUCGAAGGUGAGGAGGAGAUAUAUAGAAGAACGGAAGGAAGGGAGAGGAGGAAGGGCAGGGCGUGGCGGCCUUGACGGUGAACCUCCGGUUGCGACGGACUCUGGCGAGAGGCGGCGCACCGCGUACGGCACCGCCGCAAGCCUACGGGGCGGCAGCGGCAGCUUGGAGCUGUGGGAGCUCGGCCCUUUGGAUCGCAUGCCAAAGGUUGUGCAUAUUGGGGUUAUAUGCAGAUUUGGUUGCCAUUAAAUGAUGUCUGUACGACAGGCGGCUCCGGCGAGUCUGAUGGACUGCGGCGGUUGCUGAGCUUCUCCAUGGCCUGCUGCAGUUCCAAAGAGACACAACUUCGAAGGUGAGGAGGAGAUAUAUAGAAGAACAGAAGGAAGGGAGAGGAGGAAGGGCAAGGGCGUGGCGGCCUUGACGGUGAACCUCCGGUUGCGACGGACUCUGGCGAGAGGCGACGCACCGCGUACGGCACCGACGCAAGCCUACGGGGCGGCAGCGGCAGCUUGGAGCUGUGGGAGCUCGGCCCUUUGGAUCACAUGCCAAAGGUUAGGCAUAUUGGGUACGUUUUGAUUGCUAGCAAACCUGUCCAUACAAAAUAUGGCCAUGAUUUAUCCUGCUGUUGGUUAGUUCUGAAGUAUUACCUGUAAAAUCAAUGAAUAUUUCUAUUUUGAGGCCACAUGUAUUUUGAUUCUGUCAACACACUGAGAUCCAUGUAGAUAGAAACAUAAGAACAGGGCUGGUCCUCUGAUCAUUAACUGUAGGCCUUCAACGCCCAUUUAGGCUUGGGAGGGGUAGUAGAUUUAAGUUAAGAAAAACAUAGUGAUUGAUGAUGACAGUUAA